RNAcentral lists this ribosomal RNA (253 nucleotides) under uncultured bacterium. RNAcentral's name for it is "partial 16S ribosomal RNA". It matches the Rfam family "Bacterial small subunit ribosomal RNA", at positions 524 to 776 of the family's 1533-position model. The record is from RNAcentral.
UACAGAGGGGGCAAGCGUUGUUCGGAAUUACUGGGCGUAAAGGGCGCGUAGGCGGCCUGCUAAGUCGAACGUGAAAUCCCUGGGCUCAACCCAGGAACUGCGUCCGAUACUGGUUGGCUUGAAUCCGGGAGAGGGAUGUGGAAUUCCAGGUGUAGCGGUGAAAUGCGUAGAUAUCUGGAGGAACACCGGUGGCGAAGGCGGGUCUCUGGGCAUCUCCUGACGCUGAGGCGCGAAAGCGUGGGGAGCAAACGGG